Molecule: long non-coding RNA, 835 nt
Filed under: Gossypium barbadense (sea-island cotton)
Lineage: Eukaryota; Viridiplantae; Streptophyta; Magnoliopsida; Malvales; Malvaceae
Description: long non-coding RNA (GBAR_LNC004257)
Source: RNAcentral
CCAAAUAUAAAUAUAAUAUGUACAAAUAAAUAAAUAAUAAUAAUAAUAAUAACCACAGACCAUUAAUGUCCUAUUACAAGCCCAAAGACCCAAAACAAUCCCUCUGGCCCAAAUCUAGUGGCCCAAUACUUAAAAUGAGCCCAAACGGCCCGAAAGCCAAGCCAAAUUUCGGUAAACCCUAGGGCAAAGGGGUCCUCGCGUCGCAGCCUUCACGAGCAGCAACCACAUCGCGCCACACCCACCCUCCGUACGAUGCCAGCAUCUCAGCAGUCAGCACAGCCCCGUACCCGAGCACCACGCACCCUGUACCUGCAGAAAAGGGACAAAUGCACAGCAAAACAAACAAAAACAACGAAGAACAUUGUAUUUUCGAUUUUUAUUUUUUAUUUUUACCCCAUUCGGCUAUAAAGCCAGGGGAUUUAAUCAGUUGUAAGGUUUUUUUUACGCGCACAGAAGCAAUACAAAGUUAUCGAAAAAGACAAAGGUGAUUUUCGAAUCAAAAAUCCCUAAAUACUUUGCUCCUCCAAUUUUUUUCCUUCUUUUGUGGGUUUGUGAUUCUGAUAUUCGAAAAAUAGGGGAAUAAGGGGCUUACCUCGCGAGUUUGCCGUGGACUCCUCCUUGCUUCAUCAAAAUCGAGAGUGGAGGAGGGGUCUUGAGGCUGAAAACCAUCUUCAAAAGGCGAAUAUGCCUGCGGUUGGGGACGACGGAGGUGAGAGCCAAAUGAUUUGGCUAAAGGUCGGCUGGAAAAGAAAAAUGGGGGCUAGGGUUUUGAAAUGGCUAAAUAGCCAAAGUUAAGGUCUUUUAAAGGUUUGAAUACGGCGUCGUUUUGGGCCUG